UGAAGAUGACAUUACCAAAACAAAUUUACAAUGAUAUGGUAACAAUCACCAAAGUUAUUUAAAAUGCACGAAUAAAUAGUCAAGAAUAAAAGGGUACAAAAAAAAUAAGGAAAACUUAACUGGAAUUAAACUAAAACAGCAGGGACAAUUCGAAAAUAAAACAAUAACAAUAAGAGGACCAAUAAUCAAUGCACGAAAACAGCUAAGGACUAAAACUGGCAAUAUACCAGAUCCCAAAUGCUACGUUUAAGCGCCGAUCCAUUUGCAAACGAGUGUAAAUCACAAAGCUAAAUUAAUAAAAAAAAACGAAACAAGAAUACGGGCUGAUUUGAAUACUGCGCAAAAGGGAAGGACUGAUAUAGAAAAUAACCCUUCACUGCAAAGGCGCGCGCUGGCCUAGACGGUGUCGUUUAAGACCGUUAUCAUUGGUCUAAACGGUGUCGUUUCUUACUCCCUUAAAAUCCCCAACAAAACACCCCGUUCAGCUGAACCCCCAUCCAUUUUCUUCUUUUCCAAACCCUAAAUCCCCUUUGAAAAUGCCGAUUCUCCUUCCCCUAGCAGCAGCCAACAGAUUUAGACUGGAGAGAACACCUUUCAGCCUUUCAAUCUCCUCUUAACUUCGAUUUUAACUAAGCAAGAGGAGAUCCACGGCGUGCUUUCAAGGUAAACUCCCACUUUUCCCUUUUUUAUCCAUGCCUUCGAGUAAAAACAACAAAUAAACAAAAGAUCAAGCCGAAAAAAAAAGAACGCCCCGAGAUUUCAGUCGGAAAAUCACCUUUAAGAAUCGGUUGUUUUUUAUUGCUUCUGUUUUUGUAUGCGUAUUUCUAUGUUUAUGUGGCGUUCGAGUGUGUAAUAUGCGUGUGUAUAUUGCAUUCGUAAAGAAGAAGAAUUUACAAUCGAAAAUAAAAGGCUUUAUAGCCGAAUAACACCAAAAAAAACAACAAUUUUUGUUCUCCUAUUGGCUGCUAUUCUGCUAUUCUUUUCUUGUUCUCUUUCGCAGGUACAGGUGCGUUGGCGCUCGGGUACGGGUCUGGGCUGGCGUACGGAGGCGCGUGUGCGUGGCUGCUGGAGGGUACGGAGGCCAGGGCCGAGGCUUGGCUGCGGCGCGAGAGAGAGAGAGAGAACCCUAAGGUUCCAUUUGUUCUAAAUUUUUUUGGGCCAUCGGGCCUGUAUUUGGGUCUUGGUUUUAAAUUUGGGUCUAGGUUUAGUUAUUGGGCUUGGGUUAUGUAGCUGGGUUUGGGUCUGUUAUAAAACUGGACUGUUGUAUUGGUUUGGUUUAAUUUAAUUUAUUUAUAUUUUGUAUUUUAUCUUGGGUUACUAAUGGGCCGAGCAAAAUGGGCCUCUUACAGCUAUUAUGGCUACUUCUUUGUUGUUACCUAAGAUUCAGUGAUUUCAUGACACUGUAAAAUUAACGGUAAAUUAUUCAAAUUGUCACUCUAAAAUUAUUUUAUUCCUAUUUUGAUCACUCUAUUUUUUUUUGUCAAAUAUAACGUUGUCGUUAGUAAGUGAUGAUAAAUGGGGUUUAGGGUUUAAUGAUUUUGAGAUUUAGAAUUUGAUUUCGAAGUCAGUGAUGGUAAUAGAG
This 1582-nucleotide long non-coding RNA is filed under the name Gossypium barbadense (sea-island cotton). Its description in RNAcentral is "long non-coding RNA (GBAR_LNC023071)". The record is from RNAcentral. Lineage: Eukaryota; Viridiplantae; Streptophyta; Magnoliopsida; Malvales; Malvaceae.